CUUGCUGACACCGGCGCACGGGUGCGUAACGCGUAUGCAACCUACCUUCUACAGGGGGAUAGCCCAGAGAAAUUUGGAAUAAUACCCCAUACGAUCAAUGAUUGGCAUCGAUUAUUGAAGAAAACUCCGGUGGUAGAAGAUGGGCAUGCGUCCUAUUAGUUAGUUGGUGAGGUAACGGCUCACCAAGACGUCGAUAGGUAGGGGCCCUGAGAGGGGGAUCCCCCACACUGGUACUGAGACACGGACCAGACUCCUACGGGAGGCAGCAGUGAGGAAUAUUGGACAAUGGAGGCCACUCUGAUCCAGCCAUGCCGCGUGCAGGAAGACUGCCCUAUGGGUUGUAAACUGCUUUUAUACAGGAAGAAACUGCGCUACGAGUAGCGUACUGACGGUACUGUAAGAAUAAGGAUCGGCUAACUCCGUGCCAGCAGCCGCGGUAAUACGGAGGAUCCAAGCGUUAUCCGGAAUCAUUGGGUUUAAAGGGUCCGUAGGUGGUUAAUUAAGUCAGAGGUGAAAGCCAGCAGCUCAACUGUUGAACUGCCUUUGAUACUGAUUAACUUGAGUUAUUGUGAAGUAGUUAGAAUAUGUAGUGUAGCGGUGAAAUGCAUAGAUAUUACAUAGAAUACCGAUUG
This 632-nucleotide ribosomal RNA is filed under the name uncultured bacterium. Its description in RNAcentral is "bacterial SSU rRNA". It matches the Rfam family "Bacterial small subunit ribosomal RNA", at positions 85 to 715 of the family's 1533-position model. The record is from RNAcentral.